RNAcentral lists this unclassified non-coding RNA (505 nucleotides) under uncultured Glomus. RNAcentral describes it as "SSU rRNA". It matches the Rfam family "Eukaryotic small subunit ribosomal RNA", at positions 569 to 1081 of the family's 1831-position model. The record is from RNAcentral. Lineage: Eukaryota; Fungi; Glomeromycota; Glomeromycetes; Glomerales; Glomeraceae.
CGCAGCCGCGGUAAUUCCAGCUCCAAUAGCGUAUAUUAAAGUUGUUGCAGUUAAAAGCUCGUAGUUGAAUUUCGGGAUCAAAGGAUCGGUCAUGCCUUGGUAUGUACUGGUUUUAUUGGUUCUCACCUUCUAAAGGACCAUAAUGUCAUUCAUUUGAUGUUAUGGGGAAUUAGGACUGUUACCUUGAAAAAUUAGAGUGUUUAAAGCAGGCUUACGCUUGAAUACAUUAGCAUGGAAUAAUGAAAUAGGACAUCAGAUUCUAUUUUGUUGGUUUCUAGGAUCGAUGUAAUGAUUAAUAGGGAUAGUUGGGGGCAUUAGUAUUCAAUUGUCAGAGGUGAAAUUCUUGGAUUUAUUGAAGACUAACUACUGCGAAAGCAUUUGCCAAGGAUGUUUUCAUUAAUCAAGAACGAAAGUUAGGGAUCGAAGACGAUCAGAUACCGUGUAGUCUUAACCAUAAACUAUGCCGACUAGGGAUCGGAUGAUGUUAAUUUUAUAUGACUCAUUC